AGCGGAGGAAAAGAAACUAACAAGGAUUCCCCUAGUAACGGCGAGUGAAGAGGGAAGAGCUCAAAUUUUAAAUCUGCCUUGUUUCAAGGUCGAGUUGUAAUUUGAAGAAGCGUUUUCUUGGGCUCGCGGCCGGUAGAAGUUCUUUGGAACAGGACAUCAUAGAGGGUGACAAUCCCGUCUGCGACCGGUCGUGCGUUCAUCUACGAUACGCUUUCAAAGAGUCGAGUUGUUUGGGAUUGCAGCUCCAAAUGGGUGGUAAACAUCACCUAAGGCUAAAUAUUGGCGAGAGACCGAUAGCGAACAAGUACCGUGAGGGAAAGAUGAAAAGAACUUUGAAAAGAGAGUUAAACAGUACGUGAAAUUGUUGAAAGGGAAACGAUUGAAGUCAGUCGUGCUGGCGCGAAAUCAACCCUCUCGUUGAGAGGUCACAUGGCGUGGCGAGCCUCAAAACCGUCACGAAGCGUGAACUCUUGRYGAAAAGGAGCACUUUCGUGUCCGCUGGUUAACAUCAAUUUCGAACGUCAUAAAAAGGCUGGAGGGAUGUGGCUCCUUCGGGAGUGUUAUAACCUUUAGCGGAAUGUGGUGGUCGGGAUUGAGGAUUGCAACGAAUACCUUUAGGGCUGUUCCACCUGGCUUCUCUUUGGUAUCCUGGUGACGACAGCUUGCUGACGUUGUUAGGAUUCGCCUUUGAACAGGCUAGAGUGUGAGCAAAUUCGUUAAGGAUGUUAACGUAAUGGCUUUAAACGACCCGUCU
RNAcentral lists this ribosomal RNA (754 nucleotides) under Glomeromycotina sp. OTU33 DJMC-2012. RNAcentral's name for it is "eukaryotic LSU rRNA". It matches the Rfam family "Eukaryotic large subunit ribosomal RNA", at positions 49 to 654 of the family's 3401-position model. The record is from RNAcentral. Lineage: Eukaryota; Fungi; Glomeromycota.